Molecule: ribosomal RNA, 319 nt
Filed under: uncultured Pseudomonadota bacterium
Lineage: Bacteria; Pseudomonadati; Pseudomonadota
Description: bacterial SSU rRNA
Rfam family: Bacterial small subunit ribosomal RNA
Source: RNAcentral
AUUGAACGCUGGCGGCAUGCUUUACACAUGCAAGUCGAACGGUAACGGGCCUUCGGGUGCCGACGAGUGGCGAACGGGUGAGUAACAUAUCGGAACGUGCCCAAGAGUGGGGGACAACCAGUCGAAAGAUUGGCUAAUACCGCAUACGAUCUAUGGAUGAAAGUGGGGGACCGCAAGGCCUCACGCUCCUGGAGCGGCCGAUAUCUGAUUAGCUUGUUGGUGGGGUAAUGGCCUACCAAGGCGUCGAUCAGUAGCUGGUCUGAGAGGACGAUCAGCCACACUGGGACUGAGACACGGCCCAGACUCCUACGGGUGGCAG